Molecule: ribosomal RNA, 425 nt
Filed under: uncultured bacterium
Lineage: Bacteria
Description: partial 16S ribosomal RNA
Rfam family: Bacterial small subunit ribosomal RNA
Source: RNAcentral
GUGGGGGAUAUUGCACAAUGGAGGAAACUCUGAUGCAGCGACGCCGCGUGAGUGAAGAAGUAUUUCGGUAUGUAAAGCUCUAUCAGCAGGGAAGAAAAUGACGGUACCUGACUAAGAAGCCCCGGCUAACUACGUGCCAGCAGCCGCGGUAAUACGUAGGGGGCAAGCGUUAUCCGGAUUUACUGGGUGUAAAGGGAGCGUAGACGGCGAUGCAAGUCUGAAGUGAAAUACCCGGGCUCAACCUGGGAACUGCUUUGGAAACUGUAUGGCUAGAAUGCUGGAGAGGUAAGCGGAAUUCCUAGUGUAGCAGUGAAAUGCGUAGAUAUUAGGAAGAACACCAGUGGCGAAGGCGGCUUACUGGACAGUAACUGACGUUCAGGCUCGAAAGCGUGGGGAGCAAACAGGAUUAGAAACCCCGGUAGUCC